CUAAUAUGUAUCGAAGGGAGUAGC
Molecule: microRNA, 24 nt
Filed under: Brachypodium distachyon (stiff brome)
Lineage: Eukaryota; Viridiplantae; Streptophyta; Magnoliopsida; Poales; Poaceae
Description: bdi-miR7714-3p
Source: miRBase by way of RNAcentral